AGAGUUUGAUUAUGGCUCAGGAUGAACGCUGGCGGCGUGCCUAAUACAUGCAAGUCGAACGAGGUAGCAAUACCGAGUGGCGAACGGGUGAGUAACACGUAGGUAACCUGCCCUUAAGCUUGGGAUACCCAGAGGAAACUUGGCUAAUACCGGAUAACAACAGAGAAGGCAUCUUCUUUGCUUGAAAGGCCCCUUCAAGGGUCACUUAAGGAUGGACCUGCGGCGCAUUAGCUAGUUGGUGAGAUAACAGCCCACCAAGGCGAGGAUGCGUAGCCGAACUGAGAGGUUGAUCGGCCACAUUGGAACUGAGACACGGUCCAAACUCCUACGGGAGGCAGCAGUAAGGAGUUUUCGGCAAUGGGGGAAACCCUGACCGAGCAACGCCGCGUGAGCGAUGACGGUCCUUUGGAAUUGUAAAGCUCUGUUGUAAGCCAUGAAUGACAGCUUGAGGAAAUGCAAGUUGUUUGACGACAGCUUACCAGAAAGCCACGGCUAACUACGUGCCAGCCGCGGC
This 514-nucleotide ribosomal RNA is filed under the name uncultured bacterium. Its description in RNAcentral is "bacterial SSU rRNA". It matches the Rfam family "Bacterial small subunit ribosomal RNA", at positions 8 to 518 of the family's 1533-position model. The record is from RNAcentral.